GGAUAUGAGAGUGAUCUGGCUGUGACAUCUGUCAUCCCACUGAUAACCAGGGUUUAUUCAGCUGAUCUCGCUGGCUAGGUGGAUGUCUCCUCACUGCUCCAUGUGUGUCCCUCCCGAAGCUGCAAGUCAGUCAUGGAGGAGGACCCCUCUUUGGUCAAUGGUAUAGUAGUAGCUGUGCUCCCCUGCUAGAACCUCCAAAUAGCCUCUCAAAAUAAUAAUUCCACAUACUUAUCUAUAAUACAGAAAAUAGAUUAAUUAGAGUUCCUCUUACU
Molecule: small nuclear RNA, 272 nt
Filed under: Microcebus murinus (gray mouse lemur)
Lineage: Eukaryota; Metazoa; Chordata; Mammalia; Primates; Cheirogaleidae
Description: 7SK RNA (ENSMICG00000023715.3)
Rfam family: 7SK RNA
About the family: 7SK was discovered as an abundant small nuclear RNA in the mid-70s but a possible function has only recently been suggested. Two independent studies have found that 7SK RNA binds the CDK9/cyclin T complex (known as elongation factor P-TEFb). P-TEFb activates transcription by phosphorylating the C-terminal domain of RNA polymerase II.
Source: RNAcentral